This 255-nucleotide ribosomal RNA is filed under the name uncultured bacterium. Its description in RNAcentral is "partial 16S ribosomal RNA". It matches the Rfam family "Bacterial small subunit ribosomal RNA", at positions 97 to 353 of the family's 1533-position model. The record is from RNAcentral.
GGCGGACGGGUGAGUAAUGUCUGGGAAACUGCCUGAUGGAGGGGGAUAACUACUGGAAACGGUAGCUAAUACCGCAUAACGUCGCAAGACCAAAGAGGGGGACCUUCGGGCCUCUUGCCAUCGGAUGUGCCCAGAUGGGAUUAGCUAGUAGGUGAGGUAACGGCUCACCUAGGCGACGAUCCCUAGCUGGUCUGAGAGGAUGACCAGCCACACUGGAACUGAGACACGGUCCAGACUCCUACGGGAGGCAGCAUG